This 715-nucleotide unclassified non-coding RNA is filed under the name uncultured cyanobacterium. RNAcentral's name for it is "partial contains 16S ribosomal RNA, 16S-23S ribosomal RNA intergenic spacer, and 23S ribosomal RNA". The stretch from base 1 to 112 matches the Rfam family "Bacterial small subunit ribosomal RNA", at positions 1423 to 1533 of the family's 1533-position model. Lineage: Bacteria; Bacillati; Cyanobacteriota. The record is from RNAcentral.
GAAGUCGUUACUCCAACCCUUGUGGAGGAGGACGCCGAAGGUGGGGCUAAUGACUGGGGUGAAGUCGUAACAAGGUAGCCGUACCGGAAGGUGCGGCUGGAUCACCUCCUAACAGGGAGACAACAAAAUGUAAAUAUUAAUUUUGUCACCUUAGGUCGAUCGGUAUCUCAGAUUCUUAUUAUUUAAGAAUUUCAGUUUCUAAGUUUUUUCUAGGUCACACCCAUCACUUUUUCCUGGGCCAUUAGCUCAGGUGGUUAGAGCGCACCCCUGAUAAGGGUGAGGUCCCUGGUUCAAGUCCAGGAUGGCCCAUAUCUCUAUGUUGGGGGUAUAGCUCAGUUGGUAGAGCGCCUGCUUUGCAAGCAGGAUGUCAGCGGUUCGAGUCCGCUUACCUCCACUGAAUACCACCUCUUACAUAUAGUUGAAGUGGGAAAUUGUUUUGAGUCGUGUCCUAAUUUGCUCUGAGCGAAUCUAGCUUCCUAUUUUAUCCAAGAAAUAAGAUGCUGGACUCAUUGAAUUUUUAUUCAUUGUUUUCAGAGAACCUUGACAACUGCAUAGAUUAUUUUUAAAGACAAUAAGCAUCUUUAAUGAUGCAGAUUUAUUAUUUGUGCGAAUGCAUUAAAUAACAAUUCUAUUAAGCUGAAGCUUCAAUUAUUGAAGUUAUUGGUCAAGCUACAAAGGGCUCACGGAGGAUACCUAGGCACACAGAGGCGAUGAA